RNAcentral lists this ribosomal RNA (370 nucleotides) under uncultured bacterium. RNAcentral's name for it is "bacterial SSU rRNA". It matches the Rfam family "Bacterial small subunit ribosomal RNA", at positions 28 to 399 of the family's 1533-position model. The record is from RNAcentral.
GAUGAACGCUAGCGGCAGGCUUAACACAUGCAAGUCGAGGGUAGAAGCAGCUUGCUGCUUUGAGACCGGCGCACGGGUGCGUAACGCGUAUGCAAUCUACCUUUUACAGAGGGGAUAGCCCAGAGAAAUUUGGAUUAAUACCUCAUAGUAUGUGAGAAUCGCAUGGUUUUCACAUUAAAGUUCCAACGGUAAAAGAUGAGCAUGCGUCCCAUUAGCUAGAUGGUAAGGUAACGGCUUACCAUGGCGACGAUGGGUAGGGGUCCUGAGAGGGAGAUCCCCCACACUGGUACUGAGACACGGACCAGACUCCUACGGGAGGCAGCAGUGGGGAAUUUUGGACAAUGGACGCAAGUCUGAUCCAGCCAUUCCG